RNAcentral lists this ribosomal RNA (765 nucleotides) under uncultured Streptococcus sp. Its description in RNAcentral is "bacterial SSU rRNA". It matches the Rfam family "Bacterial small subunit ribosomal RNA", at positions 28 to 776 of the family's 1533-position model. Lineage: Bacteria; Bacillati; Bacillota; Bacilli; Lactobacillales; Streptococcaceae. The record is from RNAcentral.
GAUGAACGCUGGCGGCGUGCCUAAUACAUGCAAGUAGAACGCUGAAGCUUGGUGCUUGCACCGAGCGGAUGAGUUGCGAACGGGUGAGUAACGCGUAGGUAACCUGCCUCUUAGCGGGGGAUAACUAUUGGAAACGAUAGCUAAUACCGCAUAAAAGUCGACAUCGCAUGAUGUUGACUUGAAAGGUGCAAUUGCAUCACUAAGAGAUGGACCUGCGUUGUAUUAGCUAGUUGGUGAGGUAACGGCUCACCAAGGCAACGAUACAUAGCCGACCUGAGAGGGUGAUCGGCCACACUGGGACUGAGACACGGCCCAGACUCCUACGGGAGGCAGCAGUAGGGAAUCUUCGGCAAUGGGGGCAACCCUGACCGAGCAACGCCGCGUGAGUGAAGAAGGUUUUCGGAUCGUAAAGCUCUGUUGUAAGAGAAGAACGAGUGUGAGAGUGGAAAGUUCACACUGUGACGGUAACUUACCAGAAAGGGACGGCUAACUACGUGCCAGCAGCCGCGGUAAUACGUAGGUCCCGAGCGUUAUCCGGAUUUAUUGGGCGUAAAGCGAGCGCAGGCGGUUAGAUAAGUCUGAAGUUAAAGGCUGUGGCUUAACCAUAGUACGCUUUGGAAACUGUUUAACUUGAGUGCAGAAGGGGAGAGUGGAAUUCCAUGUGUAGCGGUGAAAUGCGUAGAUAUAUGGAGGAACACCGGUGGCGAAAGCGGCUCUCUGGUCUGUAACUGACGCUGAGGCUCGAAAGCGUGGGGAGCAAACAGG